Non-coding RNA from Candidatus Muproteobacteria bacterium, 101 nucleotides. The record is from Rfam. NCBI's taxonomy places the organism in Bacteria, Pseudomonadati, Pseudomonadota, Candidatus Muproteobacteria.
CGCGCGAAUUCACAACCCACACGCAGGCCGUCACGUGCCCCGGGUGCCCCGCGCCGGAAUUUUCGGACGGGGUCAGGGCAUGGGGCCUGCGGCGGAAUAAC